AUGAACGCUGGCGGCGUGCCUAAUUCAUGCAAGUCGAGCGAACGGACGAGAAGCUUGCUUUUCUGAUGUUAGCGGCGGACGGGUGAGUAACACGUGGAUAACCUACCUAUAAGACUGGGAUAACUUCGGGAAACCGGAGCUAAUACCGGAUAAUAUUUUGAACCGCAUGGUUCAAAAGUGAAAGACGGUCUUGCUGUCACUUAUAGAUGGAUCCGCGCUGCAUUAGCUAGUUGGUAAGGUAACGGCUUACCAAGGCAACGAUGCAUAGCCGACCUGAGAGGGUGAUCGGCCACACUGGAACUGAGACACGGUCCAGACUCCUACGGGAGGCAGCAGUAGGGAAUCUUCCGCAAUGGGCGAAAGCCUGACGGAGCAACGCCGCGUGAGUGAUGAAGGUCUUCGGAUCGUAAAACUCUGUUAUUAGGGAAGAACAUAUGUGUAAGUAACUGUGCACAUCUUGACGGUACCUAAUCAGAAAGCCACGGCUAACUACGUG
Molecule: ribosomal RNA, 496 nt
Filed under: uncultured bacterium
Lineage: Bacteria
Description: partial 16S ribosomal RNA
Rfam family: Bacterial small subunit ribosomal RNA
Source: RNAcentral